UACAGAGGCCCCAAGCGUUACUGAGAAUCACUGGGUUUAAAGGGUGCGUAGGUGGUCCGUUAAGUUCGUUGUGAAAGCCCUGGGCUCAACCCAGGAACUGCUUCGAAUACUGGCGGACUUGAGGCUAGUAGAGGUCACUGGAACUGACGGUGGAGCGGUGAAAUGCGUAGAUAUCAAGUGGAACACCAGUGGCGAAGGCGAGUCUCUGGACAUUUCCUGACGCUGAGGCACGAAAGCCAGGGGAGCAAACGGG
Molecule: ribosomal RNA, 253 nt
Filed under: uncultured bacterium
Lineage: Bacteria
Description: partial 16S ribosomal RNA
Rfam family: Bacterial small subunit ribosomal RNA
Source: RNAcentral